RNAcentral lists this ribosomal RNA (161 nucleotides) under uncultured Acinetobacter sp. Its description in RNAcentral is "partial 16S ribosomal RNA". It matches the Rfam family "Bacterial small subunit ribosomal RNA", at positions 355 to 507 of the family's 1533-position model. The record is from RNAcentral. Lineage: Bacteria; Pseudomonadati; Pseudomonadota; Gammaproteobacteria; Moraxellales; Moraxellaceae.
UGGGGAAUAUUGGACAAUGGGGGGAACCCUGAUCCAGCCAUGCCGCGUGUGUGAAGAAGGCCUUUUGGUUGUAAAGCACUUUAAGCGAGGAGGAGGAGCUCUAGACUAAUACUCUAGAUGCUUGGACGUUACUCGCAGAAUAAGCACCGGCUAACUCUGUG